Molecule: ribosomal RNA, 448 nt
Filed under: uncultured bacterium
Lineage: Bacteria
Description: bacterial SSU rRNA
Rfam family: Bacterial small subunit ribosomal RNA
Source: RNAcentral
GUGCCAGCAGCCGCGGUAAUACGUAGGUGGCAAGCGUUGUCCGGAUUUAUUGGGCGUAAAGCGAACGCAGGCGGGAAGAUAAGUCAGCUGUGAAAGCCCUCGGCUCAACCGGGGAACGGCAACUGAAACUAUUUUUCUUGAGUGCAGAAGAGGAGAGUGGAACUCCAUGUGUAGCGGUGGAAUGCGUAGAUAUAUGGAAGAACACCAGUGGCGAAGGCAGGUCUCUGGGCUGUUACUGACGCUGAGGAGCGAAAGCGUGGGGAGCGAACAGGGAUUAGAUACCCUGGUAGUCCACGCCGUAAACGGUGGAUGCUGGAUGUGGGGCCCGUUCCGCGGGUUCUGUGUCGGAGCUAACGCGUUAAGCAUCCCGCCUGGGGAGUACGGCCGCAAGGCUAAAACUCAAAGAAAUUGACGGGGGCCCGCACAAGCGGCGGAGCAUGCGGAUUAA